GAAGGGGAAGCUGAAAACCUUUAAUUAGAGUAAGCA
RNAcentral lists this non-coding RNA (36 nucleotides) under unclassified sequences. RNAcentral's name for it is "DUF805b RNA". It matches the Rfam family "DUF805b RNA". Rfam says of the family: Bacteroidetes, Chlorobi (1 example), Proteobacteria. The record is from RNAcentral.